Molecule: long non-coding RNA, 772 nt
Organism: Herpailurus yagouaroundi (jaguarundi)
Lineage: Eukaryota; Metazoa; Chordata; Mammalia; Carnivora; Felidae
Exons: 2
Source: RefSeq, a predicted model, not a curated record
CCAGAUCCUGUUCUAGGUGCUGGGGGUAGAGCAGUGACCAAAACAGAAAUAAGUCCAGCCUUCAUGUGGGGAGACAGACAAUAAGCAGGUGGCAGGAAGUCACAAAAUAGUGCACAUCCAGUCCCAACAUCAAUCGUGUGAAAUUUCUGAUAGUUUCAACAGACUAUUGUUUACCAAGCCUCCUAAAUCAAUGAAUGGAGACAACAGGAGGAAUAUUUUAGAUUCUCAGGAAAAUACGUAUUUGUUUUGAAUGCCUCAUGUUUGUGUGGAAUGUUUGUGUUAAAGAGAGAGGUGGGAGCCAAAUUCUGUAAAGCCCUGUCGGCCAUGGUGAGGAAUUUGGCAACUGAAGCAGGGCAGUGACAUGAUCCUAGAAUGGAAGCAGGAGACCAUGAAGAAUGAACUUUCGAACAGCAAUGAACUUGGCAGCAAUGUCACAAAUGGCCUCCAGCAGAGAUGAGCUCCCAGACACAGGAGUAGGGAUGGGGAGCCCCCUGUCAGGGAUGCUGCAGAGUGAAGUUGGACUCGAGGAGGUAUGCUGAGCAAGACGACUUCUAAGAAUCCAACUUCUGACGUUCUCCCCAGGCCAGCCUCCCCUGCCCCAGCCUCACAUCUCUAGCCUGGAUCUCUGCAGUGUCUGCAGAGAGGUGGUGCCAAACCGUCUCCCCGCUCAGAACCUUCUCGGCACACCUACCCUGCUCUGCUUUUUGUCCUUCGGAUUCUUCAUACCCACAGCAAUGCUCUUGAUAAUAAAUUAUUACAAAUGUGCAACAAG